GAUACGGGACUCAUCCNAGGCCCCGUAAUCGGAAUGAGUACACUUUAAAUCCUUUAACGAGUAUCCAUUGGAGGGCAAGUCUGGUGCCAGCAGCCGCGGUAAUUCCAGCUCCAAUAGCGUAUAUUAAAGUUGUUGCGGUUAAAAAGCUCGUAGUUGGACUUGUGUCCCACGCUGUCGGUUCACCGCCCGUCGGUGUUUAACUGGCAUGGUUCGUGGGACGUCCUGCCGGUGGUGGCGAGUCGAAGGCUCGCGCCCGCCGCGGUUCACGCCGCGAGCGAGGUGGCGGGCUGUAGGCGGACCCCGAUGAAAUCCUACCGCGGUGCUCUUCACCGAGUGUCGAGGUGGGCCGGCACGUUUACUUUGAACAAAUUAGAGUGCUUAAAGCAGGCCUGCUGCGCCUGAAUACUGUGUGCAUGGAAUAAUGGAAUAGGACCUCGGUUCUAUUUUGUUGGUUUUCGGAACCCGAGGUAAUGAUUAAUAGGGACAGUCGGGGGCAUUCGUAUUGCGACGUUAGAGGUGAAAUUCUUGGAUCGUCGCAAGACGGACCGAAGCGAAAGCAUUUGCCAAGUAUGUUUUCAUUAAUCAAGAACGAAAGUUAGAGGUUCGAAGGCGAUCAGAUACCGCCCUAGUUCUAACCAUAAACGAUGCCAGCUAGCGAUCCGCCGAAGUUCCUCCGAUGACUCGGCGGGCAGCUCCCGGGAAACCAAAGCUUUUGGGUUCCGGGGGAAGUAUGGUUGCAAAGCUGAAACUUAAAGGAAUUGACGGAAGGGCACCACCAGGAGUGGAGCCUGCGGCUUAAUUGACUCAACACGGGAAACCUCACCAG
Molecule: ribosomal RNA, 826 nt
Filed under: Glaphyrosoma sp. 5 AGV-2017
Lineage: Eukaryota; Metazoa; Arthropoda; Insecta; Orthoptera; Anostostomatidae
Description: SSU rRNA
Rfam family: Eukaryotic small subunit ribosomal RNA
Source: RNAcentral